CAGUAGCCGCGGUAAUACAUAGGGUGCGAGCGUUAAUCGGAAUUACUGGGCGUAAAGGGCUCGCAGGCGGUUUCUUAAGUCUGAUGUGAAAGCCCCCGGCUCAACCGGGGAGGGUCAUUGGAAACUGGGAAACUUGAGUGCAGAAGAGGAGAGUGGAAUUCCACGUGUAGCGGUGAAAUGCGUAGAGAUGUGGAGGAACACCAGUGGCGAAGGCGACUCUCUGGUCUGUAACUGACGCUGAGGAGCGAAAGCGUGGGGAGCGAACAGGAUUAGAUACCCCCGUAGUCCCUGUCUCUUAUAC
This 301-nucleotide ribosomal RNA is filed under the name uncultured bacterium. RNAcentral's name for it is "partial 16S ribosomal RNA". It matches the Rfam family "Bacterial small subunit ribosomal RNA", at positions 509 to 807 of the family's 1533-position model. The record is from RNAcentral.